RNAcentral lists this ribosomal RNA (461 nucleotides) under uncultured bacterium. RNAcentral describes it as "bacterial SSU rRNA". It matches the Rfam family "Bacterial small subunit ribosomal RNA", at positions 28 to 526 of the family's 1533-position model. The record is from RNAcentral.
GAUGAACGCUGGCGGUAUGCCUAAGAUAUGCAAGUCGAGCGGUAAGGCUCCUUCGGGAGUACACGAGCGGCGGACGGCUGAGUAACGCGUAGGAACGUACCCCAAACUGAGGGAUAAGCACCAGAAAUGGUGUCUAAUACCGCAUGUGCUCUUCGGAGUAAAGCUACGGCGGUUUGGGAACGGCCUGCGUAUGAUUAGCUUGUUGGUGAGGUAAUGGCUCACCAAGGCGACGAUCAUUAGCUGGUCUGAGAGGAUGAUCAGCCAGACUGGGACUGAGAACGGCCCAGACUCCUACGGGAGGCAGCAAUUAGGAAUCUUCCACAAUGGGGGCAACCCUGAUGGAGCAAUACCGCGUGCAGGAUGAAUGCCUUCGGGUUGUAAACUGCUUUUAUCUGUGACGAUUAUGACGGUAGCAGAUGAAUAAGGAUCGGCUAACUCCGUGCCAGCAGCCGCAGUAAAAC